This 256-nucleotide ribosomal RNA is filed under the name uncultured bacterium. RNAcentral describes it as "partial 16S ribosomal RNA". It matches the Rfam family "Bacterial small subunit ribosomal RNA", at positions 524 to 776 of the family's 1533-position model. The record is from RNAcentral.
UACGUAGGCAGCAAGCGUUGUUCGGAAUUACUGGGCGUAAAGAGUGUGUAGGCGGUGCUCUAAGUUUCGGUGUGAAAUCUCCCGGCUUAACUGGGGAGGGUGCGCCGGAAACUGGAGUGCUUGAGCGCGGGAGAGGAAAGCGGAAUUCCUGGUGUAGCGGUGGAAUGCGCAGAUAUCAGGAGGAACACCGAUGGCGAAGGCAGGUCACUGGGCCGCAACUGACGCUGAGGAGCGAAAGCAUGGGGGAGCGAACAGG